AAAUACGCCCAUAUGUUUUCAGAUCCAUCAGUUAGCUAGAUGCUAAUGCUAUUUCUGUAUAGAUCAUAUAUUCUUAGGGGUUUUCCAAUACCUUUGGAUUACAGGAAACGCCUAAAAUAGCAGAAAAAUAGUCCCCUUAGUGAGUCUCUUCCUGUGUUAUCUCAGCAUCACCUUUCCCGUCAUGCGUUUCUUAGAGUAGUACUUUUGUAAUAUCGAUACUGUAGACAUUCAGUGUGUUUGCCUCUUGCAUCAGCCUUCAUUUGCAGUUCCUUUCUCAGCCUUUGUGAUUUAAAUUUCUCAUUUAGUGAUUUUUCCAGUCUUGUUUUCCGUUUCUUCCCACUGGAUUCUUCCAUGUCCGUUAACUGUCAGAUUUUGAACAUCAUCCGAGCAGCAUCAGUUUUUCUUUGUGUAUAAGCAAGGCCGGGUGAAACACCUCUGCCCGUACUGUUCCAUAGAUCUGGCAUGCCCUCUUUGAUGUGUUGACCUUGAAAGAGUCCUGUAUGACAGCAGUUACCACAAAAUGCUCCACAAAAGCAGUGGCAGUAUUCUACUGCGAACCAGUUAAUCCCUCUUCUACUGCUCUUAGUGUCCCUAGCCAUGCCAGAAGCAUCCUGUCAGUGAUGGCCCCUGCCAAUCACUACCACCACCACAAGAAGGUCCUGGGACUUCUUAAUCCAGGCAUAUGUUCUUCUCUCAGCCUUCAGCCACCAUCCACGUUUUCCUUUCCAUUUCACCACUUGUAUAUUUAGGUCAAACUAGCUGUUGCUCCACCAUCCCAACCACAACCCUCCCAUCAAGUUGCCAUCUCUGCUUGGUCUUCCAACACAGAAGCAGAGGGUGGCCUGCUGUCCUGCACCCUCUCUGCAAAGCUGUACAGGCUGAGGUUUUGGUUCAGACAGCUGCUCGCACUGAAACAGGAAAGAACUGAACCGAAAGCAAAGAUGAGGAAGUGGAAGCUCAUGCCAACCGCAAAAGUCACUGUGUCCCCUAGAUGCCCCGCGCUGCAUACCCCAUUUAGAAGAGCUGUGAUAGGGGUGAUGACAAGCUGUGGGUUGUUAACACAUCAGCAAAAGGUGUUGCUCCUCUGCCAUCUCAAAGACUUGUCCUGCAGUUGUAGAAGCAGUGCAUCGAUGGGUUUUACAAACCUCAUCAGCCCUACAGUUUAUGUCCACAGACUAAACUGUUGUGGCGACAGGCAGAGAAAAGGAGAGACUGACGUGCUCCAAUGCCUGAGGCCCCUGCCAUGGCAGGGAAUUGAUUAGUGGGAUAUGCCAAGAUCCUAGCAGGUGAGUUGUGCUGCAGAGGAAGGUGGAAAAUCCCUAAUGUCCCUUUCAAUGUGACCUGGGGAGAAAUUCCUUCCUGACCCCAAAUAUGUUGGCAAAAGUGGGGAGAACGGGGAGGGUAGCCAGUUGUAGGGGAAGAAUGGAUUUAAUUUCUAAAGUCCCUGGUUUGCUCUAGGGUAGGUGGCUGAGAGCAGCUGCUGCUGGAAUUGUGUGCCUGGAGUGGAUGGUAGGUACCCUUUCCCAGCUGGCUCAUACAGGCUACUAAACCUACUGUGGGUGGGGCAUCCCAAGGGAGGAACAGUGGUGUUAAUUUUUGCUGCUGGCAGAGUCCUCCAGACCACAGAGAGCAAGCCAGAGUUCAUUACCCAACUGCUGUGUCUUGCUGCUACCUGGUCCACAGUCCCUGCUCAGACAAGCGGGGCAGGACGUGGGGAUACUAGAGUUCAUUUCUGGUGGAGGGGGGAAGCUUGUCCCAUCUGGAUUCCCUCCACCCAUCCUCCAUUCCCCUACUUGCUUGGUCCUGCAACCACUACCCUGACCGAGGCAGCUUCAAGGGCUUCCCAAUUCCUGUUAUUGCCAUGCUCUCAUGCUGUAACCCCCAUCACAAUUUGAAUCAACUAUUUGUCUGGGUUUGCAGGGAGCCCUGAGGCAUGUCUACACUGCGGCUGAGAGUGUGCCUACGAGCCCGGGUAGACAGACUCACGUUAGCUCAGCUUGAGCGAACGCGCUAAAAAUAACAGUGUUGAUGCUGUGGCUUGGGCAGUCGCUCAGGCAAGCCACCUGAGCUCCGACCCAAGAGCCUGAGCUGCAAUGUCCACACUGCUAUUUUAGCGCGUUCGCUCGAGCUUAGCUUGUGUGAGUCUGUCCGCAUGGGGUCUGACGCUUGCUCCCUGGUGCAAUGUAGACGUAACCUCAAAUUGAUUUUGGCAGAAGAGAAGCUUGGGCAGAGAGUAGGAAAGGGGAGAUGCAAGCAGGAGCUGACUUAUACAGAUCUUUGAAGAUAAAGAGGAGCAGCAGCUUACAUGCUGUUCACAUCCAGCUAAUGCGAGUUAGGUUGGGACCACUAGUGAACAGUGAAAAGGCCACACCAGUCAGGGGCUAGGCUGCUUCAUAGCAGCUGGAGAUUGUGCUAAUUUGGGCUUGGGAGGGAAGAGAGGGAGCUCCUGACCAUUUGGGGAACCAGCCCUAGCCACAACUACAUUUUCAGAGGUACCCCUUGAGUGCAAAUCCAUCUCUCUAGCCUUAUUGGCUGAACAGCUUUCCUGAACAGAGCUGUCCACUUUUGUGCCACUCCAUGUGAGACAUUUUAUGCAAACUAACAAGUUAGUUUGCAAGCAACCUUAAGCUUCAGCUCAAAGGGAAUGUAUCAUGCCACAAGCAGUAGCAGGGGUUGGACAUAGCACUGCACAGAACUUGGCAGCUGUCGCUGGGAGGAUAUCAGGGUGCUGGGGGAAAGCUGAGGGCCAUAUGGCAGCUGUCAAGGGAAACUGGAUGCUGGUGGGGACUGGCAGGGAUUAAGAUGGGAAGGGCUGGACCUCUCCCCACAGGUUGUUGUCGCUCCUUCCCAGCUGUGAUGCAAUAGGGGAGCAGGCACUACAGUGGGCUCUUGUGGCUGUGAGCUGCAGUUGCAGCCAUUUGUGUAGCUCAGCUAAUACUUGGCCUCUCUGCUGGGCUGCAGGAACAGGUGACAAAUGAGUGAGUAUCAAAGAGAUGUGCAAAUGUGGCAGUCCUGCUUGAGGACUUGUCUACAGGAGGAGGGUCAGGCAAGUUAAGACAGUUAAAGCUGUGAAGUUAAUGCAUGUAACUGAAAGUGCAUUAAACCCCUGUCUGGAUGCUCUCGUUCAGAAGUACCACAGUCAUCCUCAAAGGAGGAUUAAACUACAACCAGCUAAAUCCACUUUACUUAUGAACAAGAGAAUCUUGACAAGGAUUUAAUGCACAUUAGCUUCACAGCUUUUUUUGAUUCAUCUCAACUUUCCUGACUGUCCUGCUGUAGACAAACUUUGAGCGGCAUUGUACCAAGUGUACCAUUUCUUAACUAAGCACUAGGCUGUUUUACACUGCUAGUGAAUUGCCCUGUGACAUGCAGAGUCACCCUGUCUACAUGUUUUAGUUCUCCAUACAUCUGUCUGUUCUCUUGCAGAGUGAAUGUAAGGACAAUGCUUUACCCUUACAGGUGUUUGUUUUUACUUGAAUGGGAGCUGGCUCAGACCCUUACUCACCUUUAUCAUGCAAGAUGUUCAUGCUUGACUUGACUUUUCAAACACUCAUUGCUUUGUAAAAAUUGAAACCAAUUUUCUCCAGACCAAGGCUAAUUGCUUACUUGCAGACUUCAGCCAUUUUGCUAUCGCUAUGAUUUUUUCAUCACAAAGAUUUUCACAACAGAGAAUGCAUAUAUUCCCCCACUCGUAAAAUGGAUGCUCAAACUUUCUAAAAAUAUUCAUCUACUCUAACAAGAGGAUUUUGCACUUGACAUUUUUCAUCUCAGGAUCCCAGAGUACUUUACAAAUAUUAAAAAGGUGGGUUUUUAAAAUUGUGUUUCCUGAGGAAUUCUUAUUGAGUCUGCUUUUGCCCUUUAGUAAAUUAGAAUUACAAUAGCAGUGAUGAGUGCUUAGUGCAUACCUGAAAUAAUCCAUACAGUCACAUGACUGAAUCUCACAAUAGGAAUAGCUGGACUAGUGCACAGCCCUAGAUCUUAGUUUCUGAGGCUCAUUGAGUCUUUUAGCUUUGCUUCCACUGGGAAUUCAAAGGGGCCAACUCUGACAGGGGAAAGAAAUGGGUGCCCACCAGUGCAGGGGGAGGGGGAUGGCAUACUUUGAAAUGCAAGAAAUUGAAGCUGUUUCCCAAUUUAAAUAUUCUACCCCAUCGCUUAUUUCUCAGUCUGUGAGAUGAGCCUUCUGGAGCAUUGCAGUAUGAGCAAUGCCAUAAGCAAAGCAUUCCUCCUGGUAGUUUUGAUUUGCUGGUGCCAGGAAUGAGGAAGGGAAGGAACAGUAUGAUUGAUAGGGUUCACUAUAUUUAGUGGGAGUUUGAAAGAAUUGACCCAAUUGCCUCUGGCCUCAAGGAUGGAGUAGGGGUGUCGCUGGGCACGCUCCUUGGUUGAAGCAGGAAUGAAAUUGCUGGAGAUUGUGUCAGUUAGUACUUUAUUCAAAAGCCACAACAUAUUUCUGAAAACUCAACUUCCCCAUUUGGCUGGUAAAAUGGUGCAUAUUGCAACUGCAUCUGGCUUGUGGGGUGAGGUGCUGGGAUGACUUGCCCUUUACCCCAUCCCACUGCAGAGGGCAGGGAAGCUGAGCAAUGCUGAAACUUGAGCUUGUGUGGAGGGAUUUGUUUUGAUGUU
Molecule: long non-coding RNA, 4620 nt
Organism: Dermochelys coriacea (leatherback sea turtle)
Lineage: Eukaryota; Metazoa; Chordata; Testudines; Dermochelyidae
Exons: 2
Source: RefSeq, a predicted model, not a curated record